RNAcentral lists this ribosomal RNA (351 nucleotides) under Triticum aestivum (bread wheat). RNAcentral describes it as "partial small subunit ribosomal RNA". Lineage: Eukaryota; Viridiplantae; Streptophyta; Magnoliopsida; Poales; Poaceae. The record is from RNAcentral.
AUGUUCGCGCCUGAUGUUGUCGGUGAGGAACACGCAGGAUGGGAUGGUGCUAAUUUGAAACAAACAUUUAGGAGACGUGUAGAUGAAUCCUUGUAUGGUAGAUGGCUGGAGCUGCUACGCUUAGUUAGUAACACUUCAGUUUCAGCAAUCUGUGAUAAACCCGUUUGGGUUCUUGAUAAGUCUCGUACCUACUCUGUGCAAUCCUUUUAUAGGAUGAUCAAUUUUGGGGGCGUCCGUAUUGAACUCCAGGAUUACAUUUGGAAGAUUAAAGUGCCGCCCAAUAUUCAUGUUUUCCUGUGGCUUAUUGUCCACAACAUGAGUUUAACCAGAGAUAAUCUAGCCAAGCGUUAA